Molecule: ribosomal RNA, 777 nt
Filed under: uncultured Neocallimastigales
Lineage: Eukaryota; Fungi; Neocallimastigomycota; Neocallimastigomycetes; Neocallimastigales
Description: partial large subunit ribosomal RNA
Rfam family: Eukaryotic large subunit ribosomal RNA
Source: RNAcentral
UACGACUACAUAUCAGGCAUAUCAAUAAGCGGAGGAAAAGAAACUAACUAGGAUUCCCUCAGUAACGGCGAGUGAAGCGGGAAGAGCUCAAAUUUGAAAUCUUCAAGGUUCUACCUUGACGAAUUGUAGUUUAAAGAAGUGUUUUCUGUUGAAGUUUUGGUAAAAGUUCUUUGGAAUAGGACAUCAUAGAGGGUGAGAAUCCCGUAUUUGACCAUUAUUUUCCAGCUGUGUGAUACACUUUCAAAGAGUCGGAUUGUUUGGGAAUGCAGUCCAAAAUGGGUGGUAAAUUUCAUCUAAAGCUAAAUAUUGGCGAGAGACCGAUAGCGAACAAGUACCGUGAGGGAAAGAUGAAAAGAACUUUGAAAAGAGAGUUAAACAGUACGUGAAAUUGUCAAAAGGGAAGCGUUUGACACCAGUGUUGUUUUCUCGAAAAUCAAUUAAAAAAAGUUGGAUUUUGUGUUGUAUUGACCUUAACAGCUUGCUUCACUCUUUUCCAGCUUUUUUUAAUGCACUUUUCGUUUAACAAGUCAACAUCAGUUUCUUUUGUUGUAAAAGGGUCAUUGGAAGGUGGCUUUCUCUUCGGAGAAAGUGUUUAUAGCCUUUUAUCUCUGCAAUCGGAGAGACUGAGGUCUGCAGCGUAGAUCCUUCGGGGUUAGAUACAUUGGUGCUAAGCUACUAGCUUGUCAUAGACAACUUGUUGACUAUGUUCAGUCAUUGUAGCUUACUCGCUGAUGCUAUUUUACCUACGCUUAGGAUGUUGAGCGCAUGUCUCUCUCU